CUGAUGCAGCCAUGCCGCGUGUAUGAAGAAGGCCUUCGGGUUGUAAAGCACUUUCAGCGGGGAGGAAGGCGCUCUGGUUAAUACCCUUGGCGAUUGACGUUACCCGCAGAAGAAGCACCGGCUAACUCCGUGCCAGCAGCCGCGGUAAUA
This 150-nucleotide ribosomal RNA is filed under the name uncultured bacterium. RNAcentral's name for it is "partial 16S ribosomal RNA". It matches the Rfam family "Bacterial small subunit ribosomal RNA", at positions 383 to 525 of the family's 1533-position model. The record is from RNAcentral.